CGGUGUCCCAUUUUUUUUUAUGUGUUUUCUACCUUUGUUUUCAUGUUUUUCUUCGAGUUACUCAAUUCUUUGCAGCUUUUUCUUAUUGUAAAGCUAUAAAACUAGGCAUUUUAUUCCAAAAGUAUUUCUGCAUGUGAAUGUUUUUAGUUUGAAAGUAAACUUUGUCAUCUUUACUGUUUGACAUGUACAGUGUUAGGUGCUUUUCCAUGUCAUGAAAUGGAUUUUCUUUUUUCUCUUUUUAAUUGCAGAAAAUGUUUUUCACAUCAUGUAUUUUGAUCACAAUGUCCCUUCCCCCAGCUUCUUCCAGAUUUUUCCUACCUGCCCCCCCAACUCAAAACACAUUUUCAAAACCCAUAAAUUUUGGUACAUGGCAUUUUCAUUAUUAUUGAGUUCUUUGCGAUUCCUUAUUUCUGUGAGAUUUCUUUUGAGGAGCCUAGGAAUUAUGGCUCUGUCAAACCACUUACUAGAACACUGGAAGCCCCUGGGUUCAAACCCCACACUACAAUGAAACAAACAGACCAAAAAAAAAAAAAAAAA
RNAcentral lists this long non-coding RNA (537 nucleotides) under Rattus norvegicus (Norway rat). RNAcentral describes it as "long non-coding RNA NONRATT011071". The record is from RNAcentral. Lineage: Eukaryota; Metazoa; Chordata; Mammalia; Rodentia; Muridae.